UACGUAGGUGGCGAGCGUUGUCCGGAUUUACUGGGCGUAAAGGGAGCGUAGGCGGACUUUUAAGUGAGAUGUGAAAUACCCGGGCUCAACUUGGGUGCUGCAUUUCAAACUGGAAGUCUAGAGUGCAGGAGAGGAGAAUGGAAUUCCUAGUGUAGCGGUGAAAUGCGUAGAGAUUAGGAAGAACACCAGUGGCGAAGGCGGCUCUCUGGACUGUAACUGACACUGAGGCACGAAAGCGUGGGGAGCAAACAGGAUUAGAUAG
Molecule: ribosomal RNA, 262 nt
Filed under: uncultured prokaryote
Description: partial 16S ribosomal RNA
Rfam family: Bacterial small subunit ribosomal RNA
Source: RNAcentral